AGGGUUUUAAGUUAGAUAGACUGUUAGCCUUCAAAGCUGAUAGAGUGUGGGUAGUUCAUGCAGACCUUG
This 69-nucleotide transfer RNA is filed under the name Trisidos kiyonoi. RNAcentral's name for it is "tRNA-Trp". Lineage: Eukaryota; Metazoa; Mollusca; Bivalvia; Arcoida; Arcidae. The record is from RNAcentral.